Molecule: ribosomal RNA, 427 nt
Filed under: uncultured bacterium
Lineage: Bacteria
Description: bacterial SSU rRNA
Rfam family: Bacterial small subunit ribosomal RNA
Source: RNAcentral
UGGGGAAUUUUGGACAAUGGGCGCAUGCCUGAUCCAGCAAUGCCGCGUGCAGGAUGAAGGCCUUCGGGUUGUAAACUGCUUUUGUACGGAACGAAAAAGCUCUCUCUAAUACAGGGGGUGAAUGACGGUACCGUAAGAAUAAGCACCGGCUAACUACGUGCCAGCAGCCGCGGUAAUACGUAGGGUGCAAGCGUUAAUCGGAAUUACUGGGCGUAAAGCGUGCGCAGGCGGUUUUGUAAGACAGAGGUGAAAUCCCCGGGCUCAACCUGGGAACUGCCUUUGUGACUGCAAAGCUGGAGUGCGGCAGAGGGGGAUGGAAUUCCGCGUGUAGCAGUGAAAUGCGUAGAUAUGCGGAGGAACACCGAUGGCGAAGGCAAUCCCCUGGGCCUGCACUGACGCUCAUGCACGAAAGCGUGGGGAGCAAACA